UUUGCGAUUUUUUUAUGGCCGAGCUAAGCAUUAGAUUUUUAAUCUAAAGACGGAAAUUUAUUUUCC
RNAcentral lists this transfer RNA (66 nucleotides) under Pupilla muscorum. Its description in RNAcentral is "tRNA-Lys". The record is from RNAcentral. Lineage: Eukaryota; Metazoa; Mollusca; Gastropoda; Stylommatophora; Pupillidae.